RNAcentral lists this unclassified non-coding RNA (206 nucleotides) under Hevea brasiliensis (rubber tree). The record is from RNAcentral. Lineage: Eukaryota; Viridiplantae; Streptophyta; Magnoliopsida; Malpighiales; Euphorbiaceae.
CCGGAGCCCACUCCUGAACCCACCCCUACGCCCAGCCCGUCGCCGGUUCCUGAGCCCUCUUCUGAGCCUGCGCCUGCUCCGUCCUCUGCCGCCCCCGCUGUGCCCGCGCCCUCUGCUGACAGCAGCAGCGGCGGCAGCGGCGGUGGUGAGAGCUACACUGGUUCCCUCACCAUGAACUACUACGGUGGAGGCAACGGCGCUUGCGG